Molecule: ribosomal RNA, 253 nt
Filed under: uncultured bacterium
Lineage: Bacteria
Description: partial 16S ribosomal RNA
Rfam family: Bacterial small subunit ribosomal RNA
Source: RNAcentral
UACGAAGGGGGCUAGCGUUGCUCGGAAUCACUGGGCGUAAAGCGCACGUAGGCGGAUUGUUAAGUCAGGGGUGAAAUCCUGGAGCUCAACUCCAGAACUGCCUUUGAUACUGGCGAUCUUGAGUCCGGGAGAGGUGAGUGGAACUGCGAGUGUAGAGGUGAAAUUCGUAGAUAUCAGGAGGAACACCGGUGGCGAAGGCGGCUUUCUGGACAGUAACUGACGCUGAGGCGCGAAAGCUAGGGGAGCAAACAGG